Non-coding RNA from Acanthosepion pharaonis, 113 nucleotides. The record is from the annotation of a GenBank genome assembly. NCBI's taxonomy places the organism in Eukaryota, Metazoa, Mollusca, Cephalopoda, Sepiida, Sepiidae.
UUACGACCAAAUCAUGUUGAAACACCGGUACGCGUAAGAUCACCGAAGUUAAGCAAUGUCGAGCCUAGUCAGUACCUAGAUAGGUGACCACUUGGGAAGCCAGUUGCUGUAAG